RNAcentral lists this transfer RNA (74 nucleotides) under Apaloderma vittatum (bar-tailed trogon). It matches the Rfam family "tRNA". From Rfam's summary of the family: Transfer RNA (tRNA) molecules are approximately 80 nucleotides in length. Their secondary structure includes four short double-helical elements and three loops (D, anti-codon, and T loops). The record is from Rfam by way of RNAcentral. Lineage: Eukaryota; Metazoa; Chordata; Aves; Trogoniformes; Trogonidae.
AGACAGUUAGCUCAGUCGGUUAGAGCGUGGUGCUGACAACACCAAAGUUGUGGGUUUGAUCCCCGUUUGGUCCC